GACGAACGCUGGCGGCGUGCUUAACACAUGCAAGUCGAACGAUGAAGCUGAAGCUUUUGUUUUGGUGGAUUAGUGGCGAACGGGUGAGUAAUACGUGAGUAACCUGCCCUUGUCUUUGGGAUAAGCCUGGGAAACUGGGUCUAAUACCGGAUAUUCUGCUUCUGCCGCAUGGUGGGGGUUGGAAAGAUUUUUUUGGAUGGGGAUGGGCUCACGGCCUAUCAGCUUGUUGGUGAGGUAACGGCCCACCAAGGCGACGAUCGGUAGCCGGACUGAGAGGUUGAACGGCCACAUUGGGACUGAGACACGGCCCAG
This 312-nucleotide ribosomal RNA is filed under the name uncultured bacterium. RNAcentral describes it as "bacterial SSU rRNA". It matches the Rfam family "Bacterial small subunit ribosomal RNA", at positions 28 to 334 of the family's 1533-position model. The record is from RNAcentral.